GAGUCAUAUGGAAGUAGAUAGAAUGUGUAGUGUAGCGGUGAAAUGCAUAGAUAUUACACAGAAUACCGAUUGCGAAGGCAGUCUACUACGUAUGUACUGACGCUCAUGGACGAAAGCGUGGGGAGCGAACAGGAUUAGAUACCCUGGUAGUCCACGCCGUAAACGAUGGACACUAGUUGUUGGGCAUUAGCUCAGUGACUAAGCGAAAGUGAUAAGUGUCCCACCUGGGGAGUACGAUCGCAAGAUUGAAACUCAAAGGAAUUGACGGGGGCCCGCACAAGCGGUGGAGCAUGUGGUUUAAUUCGAUGAUACGCGAGGAACCUUACCAGGGCUUAAAUGUAGUAUGACAGGUUUAGAGAUAGACUUUUCUUCGGACAUAUUACAAGGUGCUGCAUGGUUGUCGUCAGCUCGUGCCGUGAGGUGUCAGGUUAAGUCCUAUAACGAGCGCAACCCUUGUCGUUAGUUGCCAGCAUGUAAAGAUGGGGACUCUAACGAGACUGCCGGUGCAAACCGAGAGGAAGGUGGGGGAUGACGUCAAAUCAUCACGGCCCUUACGUCCUGGGCCACACACGUGCUACAAUGGUAUGGACAAUGAGCAGCCAUCUGGCAACAGAGAGCAAAUCUAUAAACCAUAUCACAGUUCGGAUCGGAGUCUGCAACUCGACUCCGUGAAGCUGGAAAUCGCUAGUAAUCGGAUAUUCAGCCAUGAUCCGGUUGAAUACGUUCCCGG
Molecule: ribosomal RNA, 730 nt
Filed under: uncultured bacterium
Lineage: Bacteria
Description: bacterial SSU rRNA
Rfam family: Bacterial small subunit ribosomal RNA
Source: RNAcentral